UGUGAAAGUCAGCAGGGAAGAGCGAUGUAGAAGAAAUGACUGCCAGAAGCUUGCUAAGGAACCGCACAACCUGUGUGGGCAGCAGACAAAAUAUUCAUCAAACGAAGUUUUGCACCAAAGUUAUGAGAGCAGCACAGAUGUUGUUUUAGCGUAAUGGAGUGAUGGAAGUGCUGCGCCAAUCAUGGAGUGCUUAGCAGUCGCCUGCUCGACCAGCCACAGUGAGUCAUUGGAGGCAGUGCUGCAGCACCAACAAUCACUCGUUGGAAGAAAGGAAUGAGGUGGCCAUCAACACCCUGC
This is a long non-coding RNA of Ornithodoros turicata, 297 nucleotides long. RefSeq lists it as uncharacterized. The transcript has 3 exons. Lineage: Eukaryota; Metazoa; Arthropoda; Arachnida; Ixodida; Argasidae. The record is from RefSeq and is a predicted model, not a curated record.